CUGCUGUGUGGGAGACACACACACCCCACAAACAAACACACCCCACAUCUAUGUCAUUUGCAGGCUGACUUGAGUUUUAAAACAGUUCUGGGCACGAAUGUGUGGUUAUCUCUGUAGGAGCAGACAGGGCUUUCUUCCAGCCAGAAAAUUCACAGUUCAAUUGAGGAAAUGAUGAACAUCAAUUGAAAAACAAUUCCAAAAUACUUCACAAAAUUGCCUUUCAUGGUUUUUCACUUGCUUAUUUGUUUUUACACUUGGCCAAUGGGUCAGACCAACCUGCUGGCUACCUUAGCUGUCGGGGUUGGAUGGCAUGCAAAGUGACAUAUUUAUUUCCUGUCUCACUAUUGAUGACUGUUGCAUAGGAUACAUACUUUAUUCUUUGUUAAUGUCAUACACUCAGGCUAAAGGGUUGAGACCUUAAUAGGUAGUCUUCCUGAGCUCUGAUGUUUCGACUGUGCAAGCCAAACUCACAAUGUGGAAAAUGGAACAUUUUAUGAAGUUCAUACAUUUUCAAAAUUGCUCCUACAAUGAUGCCUUUGUUUUGUGUUAGGACUGGAAUGAUGGCUUCUAUCUAUUCCAAAUAACUCCAAUAUCGCC
RNAcentral lists this long non-coding RNA (597 nucleotides) under Pan troglodytes (chimpanzee). RNAcentral describes it as "long non-coding RNA NONPTRT001570". Lineage: Eukaryota; Metazoa; Chordata; Mammalia; Primates; Hominidae. The record is from RNAcentral.